RNAcentral lists this ribosomal RNA (511 nucleotides) under uncultured bacterium. RNAcentral describes it as "bacterial SSU rRNA". It matches the Rfam family "Bacterial small subunit ribosomal RNA", at positions 17 to 518 of the family's 1533-position model. The record is from RNAcentral.
UUCUGGCUCAGGAUGAACGCUGGCGGCGUGCUUAACACAUGCAAGUCGAACGAAGAUAUUUAGAAUGAGAGCUUCGGCAGGAUUUUAUUAUUCUUAGUGGCGGACGGGUGAGUAACGCGUGGGCAACCUGCCCUUUACUGGGGGAAUAAUCAUUGGAAACGAUGACUAAUACCGCAUGUCACCGAGGACUGGCAUCUUUCCUCGGAAAAAGGAGCAAUCCGGUAAAGGAUGGGCCCGCGUCUGAUUAGCUUGUUGGUGGGGUAACGGCCUACCAAGGCGACGAUCAGUAGCCGACCUGAGAGGGUGAUCGGCCACAUUGGGACUGAGACACGGCCCAAACUCCUACGGGAGGCAGCAGUGGGGAAUAUUGCACAAUGGGGGAAAAACCCCCUGAUGCAGCAACGCCGCGUGAAGGAAGAAGGUUUUCGGAUCGUAAACUUCUAUCAACAGGGACGAAGAAAGUGACGGUACCUGAAUAAGAAGCCCCGGCUAACUACGUGCCAGCCGCGGC